AUUCAUCAUGUAUGCUUUUCUAAUUAUAAUGGGGGUGGGGGAUGAGAGUAAGGUAAAUAGUCUUUCGCUCGGCCACACACCGGAAUUUACUUUGAGGAAAUUAAAGUGUUCAUAGCAAAUAAGUGUUUGAAUACUACAGCAUGGAAUAACAAAAUAGGACUUUGGUAUUGUUUUGUUGGAGUAGAGAAACCAAAGUAAAGACGAAUAGGGACAGUUGGGGGCAUUGGAAUUUGAUAGUCAGAGGUGAAAUUCAUGGAUUUAUCAAAGACCAACAAAGGCGAAAGCAUUUGCCAAGGAUGUUUUCAUUGAUCAAGAACGAAAGUCAGGGGAUCGAAGACGAUUAGAUACCGUCGUAGUCUUGACCGUAAACGAUGCCGACUUGGGGGAGGUGCGAGAUGAGAAGCGCAUCACAACCAAAGGAGAAAUCAAAGUGUAUGGGUUCUGGGGGGAGUAUAGUCGCAAGGCCGAAACUUGAAGGAAUUGACGGAAGGGCACCACCAGGAGUGGAGCCUGCGGCUUAAUUUGACUCAACACGGGAAAACUUACCAGGUCCGGACAUGAUGAGGAUUGACAGAUUGAGAGCACUUUUAAGAUUUCAUGGGAGGUGGUGCAUGGCCGUUCUUAGUUGGUGGAGUGAUUUGUCAGGUUAAUUCCGAUAACGAGCGAGACCCCGUCAGGGUGAUGGAGAGUUGAAGAUGAGUCUUUAAUGUCUUACCUCCCUGGACACCCCA
This 731-nucleotide ribosomal RNA is filed under the name uncultured eukaryote. RNAcentral's name for it is "bacterial SSU rRNA". It matches the Rfam family "Eukaryotic small subunit ribosomal RNA", at positions 666 to 1426 of the family's 1831-position model. The record is from RNAcentral.